GACGAACGCUGGCGGCGUGGAUUAGGCAUGCAAGUCGCACGAGAAACAUUCCUUCGGGAAUGCGGACAGUGGCGAACUGGUGAGUAACACGUGAACAACCUGCCCUUUCAUUCUGGAUAGCCGGCCGAAAGGCCGGAUAAUACAGGCGAGGAUCUUUUUAAGGCAUCUUAGAAAGAAGGAAGGCGCAAGCCGUGCAAGGAGGGGUUCGCGGACUAUCAGGUAGUUGGUGAGGUAAUGGCUCACCAAGCCGACGACGGAUAGCUGGUCUGAGAGGAUGAUCAGCCACACUGGGACUGAGACACUGCCCAGACUCCUACGGGAGGCUGCAGUCGAGAAUCUUGGACAAUGUACGAAAGUAUGAUCCAGCGACGCCGCGUGGAGGAUGAAGGAGCUAUGCUUCGUAAACUCCUUUUAUGAGGGAAGAAGAUCUGACGGUACCUCAUGAAUAAGCCACGGCUAACUACGUGCCAGCAGCCGCGGUAAA
Molecule: ribosomal RNA, 484 nt
Filed under: uncultured bacterium
Lineage: Bacteria
Description: bacterial SSU rRNA
Rfam family: Bacterial small subunit ribosomal RNA
Source: RNAcentral